This 460-nucleotide ribosomal RNA is filed under the name uncultured bacterium. Its description in RNAcentral is "partial 16S ribosomal RNA". It matches the Rfam family "Bacterial small subunit ribosomal RNA", at positions 338 to 795 of the family's 1533-position model. The record is from RNAcentral.
CCUACGGGGUGCAGCAGUGAGGAAUAUUGGUCAAUGGACGAGAGUCUGAACCAGCCAAGUAGCGUGAAGGAUGACUGCCCUAUGGGUUGUAAACUUCUUUUAUAUGGGAAUAAAAUGUUCCACGUGUGGGAUUUUGUAUGUACCAUAUGAAUAAGGAUCGGCUAACUCCGUGCCAGCAGCCGCGGUAAUACGGAGGAUCCGAGCGUUAUCCGGAUUUAUUGGGUUUAAAGGGAGCGUAGGUGGAUUGUUAAGUCAGUUGUGAAAGUUUGCGGCUCAACCGUAAAAUUGCAGUUGAAACUGGCAGUCUUGAGUACAGUAGAGGUGGGCGGAAUGCGUGGUGUAGCGGUGAAAUGCUUAGAUAUCACGAAGAACGCCGAUUGCGAAGGCAGUUCACUGGACUGCAACUGACACUGAGGCUCGAAAGUGUGGGUAUCAAACAGGAUUAGAUACCCCAGUAGUC